This 254-nucleotide ribosomal RNA is filed under the name uncultured bacterium. Its description in RNAcentral is "partial 16S ribosomal RNA". It matches the Rfam family "Bacterial small subunit ribosomal RNA", at positions 524 to 776 of the family's 1533-position model. The record is from RNAcentral.
UACGUAGGGUCCGAGCGUUGUCCGGAUUUAUUGGGCGUAAAGAGCUCGUAGGCGGCUCAGUAAGUCGGAUGUGAAAACUCGGGGCUCAACCCCGAGACGCCAUCCGAUACUGCUGUGGCUUGAGUCUGGUAGGGGAACACGGAAUACCUGGUGUAGCGGUGAAAUGCGCAGAUAUCAGGUGGAACACCGAUGGCGAAGGCAGUGUUCUGGGCCAGUACUGACGCUGAGGAGCGAAAGCGUGGGGAGCAAACAGG